GGCUUCCUGGUGCUUAACACAGGCUGAAUUCUUACACUGACUGUAUAGAAAAGGAGGUAGAGUAAACUACCCAUAUACCCCUCAGCCCAGGCUCUGUGCCUGAUCUAUAUUAUGAACGUGGGAACAGAG
Small nucleolar RNA from Chlorocebus sabaeus (green monkey), 129 nucleotides. NCBI's taxonomy places the organism in Eukaryota, Metazoa, Chordata, Mammalia, Primates, Cercopithecidae. The record is from Ensembl.